RNAcentral lists this ribosomal RNA (484 nucleotides) under uncultured bacterium. RNAcentral describes it as "partial 16S ribosomal RNA". It matches the Rfam family "Bacterial small subunit ribosomal RNA", at positions 30 to 507 of the family's 1533-position model. The record is from RNAcentral.
AUUGAACGCUGGCGGCAGGCCUAACACAUGCAAGUCGAGCGGAUGAAGGGAGCUUGCUCCUGGAUUCAGCGGCGGACGGGUGAGUAAUGCCUAGGAAUCUGCCUGGUAGUGGGGGAUAACGUCCGGAAACGGGCGCUAAUACCGCAUACGUCCUGAGGGAGAAAGUGGGGGAUCUUCGGACCUCACGCUAUCAGAUGAGCCUAGGUCGGAUUAGCUAGUUGGUGGGGUAAAGGCCUACCAAGGCGACGAUCCGUAACUGGUCUGAGAGGGUGAUCAGUCACACUGGAACUGAGACACGGUCCAGACUCCUACGGGAGGCAGCAGUGGGGAAUAUUGGACGAUGGGCGAAAGCCUGAUCCAGCCAUGCCGCGUGUGUGAAGAAGGUCUUCGGAUUGUAAAGCACUUUAAGUUGGGAGGAAGGGCAGUAAGUUAAUACCUUGCUGUUUUGACGUUACCAACAGAAUAAGCACCGGCUAACUUCGUG